Fundulus heteroclitus (mummichog) is the source of this 473-nucleotide long non-coding RNA. RefSeq lists it as uncharacterized. Lineage: Eukaryota; Metazoa; Chordata; Actinopteri; Cyprinodontiformes; Fundulidae. The transcript is spliced from 3 exons. The record is from RefSeq and is a predicted model, not a curated record.
AAAAUUGUCAAAUAACAUUUUUUUUCUUUAGCGCUGGAGUUAAAAAUGUACAACUGUAUCGGAAAAAUGAUAUCAGUCUGUUUGGUGCAUGGAGGCAUUGGACCACAUUUCUUCUCUCAGAGGCUGUAUGACCACAUUUGUGGCACAUUGUCUAAACCUACCCUGGUUGAGGAAGUUGUUAACCAUUCAUUCAGACAGCAGUUGAUCAAAAUUCAGGAUGCAAACACAGUCGUGGAAGCAAACGAGGCCAUCAUGCUGGCUGCAGAUACCCUGAGCAUUGUUGGAGCAUUAAGGCGUGUAACUACGCUGGAAGAGAGGGACUCCCUUGUGCAAUCUGCUGCAGACUUCUUUGUAAAUGGCAGAGUGUGCACUGCAUUGCAACAAAGGAGAAUGCAGUCCCAUUACCCUUGAAAUGAUACUGGAGUUCGCUUCUGGAGCAUCCAAGGUACCUCCACUGGGCUUUCCCCAUCGUC